Molecule: ribosomal RNA, 263 nt
Filed under: uncultured bacterium
Lineage: Bacteria
Description: partial 16S ribosomal RNA
Rfam family: Bacterial small subunit ribosomal RNA
Source: RNAcentral
CCGGCGCACGGGUGAGUAACACGUAUGGAACCUGCCCUAUGCAGGGGGAUAAGCGGAAGAAAUUCCGUCUAAUACCGCAUAACACCACUUGGAGACAUCUCCAGGGGGUCAAAGGAGGCGACUCCGGCAUAGGAUGGCCAUGCGUCGCAUUAGCUAGUCGGCGGGGUAACGGCCCACCGAGGCGACGAUGCGUAGGGGUUCUGAGAGGAAGGUCCCCCACACUGGUACUGAGACACGGACCAGACUCCUACGGGAGGCAGCAG